Molecule: ribosomal RNA, 109 nt
Filed under: uncultured bacterium
Lineage: Bacteria
Description: partial 16S ribosomal RNA
Rfam family: Bacterial small subunit ribosomal RNA
Source: RNAcentral
AAUACGUUCCCGGGCCUUGUACACACCGCCCGUCAAGCCAUGGAAGCUGGGGGUGCCUGAAGUCGGUGACCGUAAGGAGCUGCCUAGGGUAAAACUGGUAACUAGGGCU